Molecule: ribosomal RNA, 692 nt
Filed under: uncultured bacterium
Lineage: Bacteria
Description: bacterial SSU rRNA
Rfam family: Bacterial small subunit ribosomal RNA
Source: RNAcentral
AACGCUAGCUACAGGCUUAACACAUGCAAGUCGAGGGGCAGCAUAAAAGUAGCAAUACUUUGGUGGCGACCGGCGCACGGGUGAGUAACGCGUAUGCAACCUACCUAUCAGAGGGGGAUAACCCGGCGAAAGUCGGACUAAUACCGCAUAAAACAGGGGCACCGCAUGGUGAUAUUUGUUAAAAAUUUAUUGCUGAUAGAUGGGCAUGCGUUCCAUUAGGUAGUUGGAGAGGUAACGGCUCACCAAGCCAACGAUGGAUAGGGGAACUGAGAGGUUGGUCCCCCACACUGGUACUGAGACACGGACCAGACUCCUACGGGAGGCAGCAGUGAGGAAUAUUGGUCAAUGGGCGAGAGCCUGAACCAGCCAAGUCGCGUGAAGGAAGAAGGAUCUAUGGUUCGUAAACUUCUUUUGCAGGGGAAUAAAGUGCAGGACGUGUCCUGUUUUGUAUGUACCCUGAGAAUAAGGAUCGGCUAACUCCGUGCCAGCAGCCGCGGUAAUACGGAGGAUCCGAGCGUUAUCCGGAUUUAUUGGGUUUAAAGGGAGCGUAGACGGGAUGUUAAGUCAGCUGUGAAAGUUUGGGGCUCAACCUUAAAAUUGCAGUUGAUACUGGCGUCCUUGAGUGCGGUUGAGGUAUGUGGAAUUCGUGGUGUAGCGGUGAAAUGCUUAGAUAUCACGAAGAACUCCGAUUG